RNAcentral lists this ribosomal RNA (346 nucleotides) under uncultured soil bacterium. RNAcentral describes it as "bacterial SSU rRNA". It matches the Rfam family "Bacterial small subunit ribosomal RNA", at positions 26 to 363 of the family's 1533-position model. The record is from RNAcentral.
AGAGUGAACGCUGGCGGUAGGCCUAACACAUGCAAGUCGAACGGCAGCACGGUAAGAGCUUGCUCUUAUGGGUGGCGAGUGGCGGACGGGUGAGGAAUACAUCGGGAUCUACCUUUUGGUGGGGGAUAACGUAGGGAAACUUACGCUAAUACCGCAUACGCCCUUCGGGGGAAAGCCGGGGACCAGCAAUGGCCUGGCGCUGAUAGAUGAGCCGAUGUCGGAUUAGCUAGUUGGUGAGGUAAUGGCUCACCAAGGCGACGAUCCGUAGCUGGUCUGAGAGGAUGAUCAGCCACACUGGAACUGAGACACGGUCCAGACCUCCUACGGGAGCAGCAGGUGGGGAAUA